RNAcentral lists this ribosomal RNA (398 nucleotides) under uncultured bacterium. RNAcentral's name for it is "bacterial SSU rRNA". It matches the Rfam family "Bacterial small subunit ribosomal RNA", at positions 358 to 773 of the family's 1533-position model. The record is from RNAcentral.
GGAAUUUUGGGCAAUGGGCGAAAGCCUGACCCAGCAACGCCGCGUGAAGGAUGAAGUCUCUCGGGAUGUAAACUUCGAAAUUAUAGGAAGAAUCAAUGACGGUACUAUAAAUAAGCUCCGGCUAACUACGUGCCAGCAGCCGCGGUAAUCCGUAGGGGGCAAGCGUUGUUCGGAUUUACUGGGCGUAAAGGGUGCGUAGGCGGCGUGACAAGUCACUUGUGAAAUCUCCGGGCUUAACUCGGAACGGCCAAGUGAUACUGUUGUGCUAGAGUGCAGAAUGGGCAAGUGGAAUUCUUGGUGUAGCGGUGAAAUGCGUAGAUAUCAAGAGGAACACCUGAGGCGAAGGCGACUUGCUGGGCUGACACUGACGCUGAGGCACGAAAGCCAGGGGAGCGAAC